This 465-nucleotide ribosomal RNA is filed under the name uncultured bacterium. RNAcentral describes it as "partial 16S ribosomal RNA". It matches the Rfam family "Bacterial small subunit ribosomal RNA", at positions 339 to 795 of the family's 1533-position model. The record is from RNAcentral.
CUACGGGGCGCAGCAGUGAGGAAUUUUGCGCAAUGGGGGAAACCCUGACGCAGCAACGCCGCGUGAGUGAUGAAGGCUUUCGGGUCGUAAAGCUCUGUCAAGUGGGAAGAAACUGAUUGGCGGUAAUAUCACCGGUCACUGACGGUACCACUGAAGGAAGCACCGGCUAACUCCGUGCCAGCAGCCGCGGUAACACGGGGGGUGCAAGCGUUAUUCGGAAUUAUUGGGCGUAAAGAGCGCGUAGGCGGUCUUUUAAGUCAGAUGUGAAAGCCCGGGGCUUAACCCCGGAGGUGCAUUUGAAACUAAAAGACUAGAGUAUGGGAGAGGGAAGUGGAAUUCCUGGUGUAGAGGUGAAAUUCGUAGAUAUCAGGAGGAACACCGGUGGCGAAGGCGACCUCCUGGACCAAUACUGACGCUGAGGCGCGAAGGCGUGGGGAGCAAACAGGAUUAGAUACCCGCGUAGUC